RNAcentral lists this ribosomal RNA (253 nucleotides) under uncultured bacterium. Its description in RNAcentral is "partial 16S ribosomal RNA". It matches the Rfam family "Bacterial small subunit ribosomal RNA", at positions 524 to 776 of the family's 1533-position model. The record is from RNAcentral.
GACGAACCGUGCGAACGUUGUUCGGAAUCACUGGGCGUAAAGCGCACGUAGGCGGAUGUGUCAGUCAGGGGUGAAAUCCCGGAGCUCAACUUCGGAACUGCCUUUGAUACAGCACGUCUUGAGUCCGAUAGAGGUGGGUGGAAUUCCUAGUGUAGAGGUGAAAUUCGUAGAUAUUAGGAAGAACACCGGUGGCGAAGGCGGCCCACUGGAUCGGUACUGACGCUGAGGUGCGAAAGCCAGGGGAGCAAACGGG